Molecule: ribosomal RNA, 253 nt
Filed under: uncultured bacterium
Lineage: Bacteria
Description: partial 16S ribosomal RNA
Rfam family: Bacterial small subunit ribosomal RNA
Source: RNAcentral
UACGGAGGGUGCAAGCGUUAAUCGGAAUUACUGGGCGUAAAGCGCACGCAGGCGGUUUGUUAAGUCUGAUGUGAAAUCCCCGGGCUCAACCUGGAUACUGCAGCUGAUACUGGAAAGCUUGAGUCACGUAGAGGAAAGUAGAAUUCCAAGUGUAGCGGUGAAAUGCGUAGAGAUCUGGAGGAACACCGGUGGCGAAGGCGGCUUCCUGGACGUAAACUGACGCUGAGGUGCGAAAGCGUGGGGAGCAAACAGG